GGGCCUCUGUAUGUGGCAGAAAGAGGUGGGGGGGGGAGGGCAUGGAUCUCUCAACUUCUAGAAGCUGCCCAUUCAGAUAACAGCUGCGAAAAGUGGACCAGCAAUAUAGGGUGGGGGGCAGAAGAUGCAGCUGGAUCUCUCUGUUGCAGGAUGCCCAUGUGGUUCUGUAGCCCUAGCAUAGUCACCGAUUCUCAUUUCCUCUUGCGGCUAAAACUGUCCCGUGCUGGGGGCCGUCUGUAAAAAAUAUCAGCUGUCUUGAGGCCUGUGGGUGGCUGCCAUCCUGCAAACAAUAGGCCGCAGAAGCCUCGCGGUUCUGACGUGGAAGAGCUGCAAAGCAAUGCGUUGGAACACUCCGUCCCUGUCAACUUCGCAGCAAACAGAAGGCCUGCCCCAUUAGCGAGAGCCGUAUGUGUUCCGGCAGGCCGCCCACAUUAUGAUUUCAUGGGCUCGUUUUAAAAAUCCGUCCAGUCCGGAAGAUGCUGCCUCGGGUUUUGACCCUUUGCAGUAGUGAGAUGUGUCUGCGUUUUUUUUUUUUUUUUUUGCGAUUCAGCGUUUGACUUCAGUAAUCCUCCGUAAAUCUGCCUGUUUAUCUGCAGCUAUUCAUGUUGUUGCACAGGUCUGGACAAUGCGAAUGACUGACGCCGCAGAAAUGAACGUGAUCGUCACGUCGAUCUUUCCAGAGUUCCUGUGAUCUGCGUGGAUGCGCUCCUGCCACUAAUCACUGCCAAACAUACCGGCUAUACCCCCCCCGAGAGCCGCACAUUUACCAAAAGCCUUUGAUGAUCCAAUUAGCUGCAUUCCCAGCGCUCUUCCCCAGUGAGAUUGUUCCAGCACCAUGGCAAGAAAAUCAGAAACUUCUGGAAUCCCUGCCACAGUGGGGGGCUGUAACUCGAGAGCAUCCAUCUCCGUUUAGUGGCUGCACAGAGGGAGUGGCAUCGCAGCGGGCUGAGCGCACGGCGCCGUCUUCCUCUGACGACGGAAUGUUGGGAACCACGAGUAUUCAACAGAUCCUGCCAGCCCGCGCCUGCUUCAGCCUGGACCUCUGCGCUGCAGCCCAGCAAAUCCUUAGCACGUGAACAACAGCUGCUGUCAAGCUCAAAAAUGAAAUGAGUAUUUUUGUGCCCGGUGCAUUAAAUUUACUCGACUCAUUCAUAUGACCGUUGCACAUUUCCAGGUUUUAUUUUCGUCUUUGAUCAUCAUAUAAAAUAACAUCUAUUCUUUGAUAAGCAGGAUUUUUUUCCUGUAAUAA
Molecule: long non-coding RNA, 1249 nt
Organism: Brienomyrus brachyistius
Lineage: Eukaryota; Metazoa; Chordata; Actinopteri; Osteoglossiformes; Mormyridae
Exons: 5
Source: RefSeq, a predicted model, not a curated record